GGAAGGUGCUACGCUAUUGU
This 20-nucleotide microRNA is filed under the name Schistosoma mansoni. RNAcentral's name for it is "sma-miR-8465-3p". Lineage: Eukaryota; Metazoa; Platyhelminthes; Trematoda; Strigeidida; Schistosomatidae. The record is from miRBase by way of RNAcentral.